AUGAAUUGAAUGGAAUAUCACACCUUCCAUUUGUGCUUGAUUCAACGAUCUAAAAAGUGACCGGAUCACGAAUGGGGUUGUGGUUCAUUGGUAAAUACAAAGCCUUUAAACACCUUGGGAUUGCCGUUCAAAAAAAAGUGACCGGAUCGGACGUGUACUUUUUCAGGAACACAAGUGAGUGGCGUUUCAAUUAUUCAAGAUAGGUUGAAGAUGAAUACAAAUAUGAAAUCGUAAAGUUACAAGACAUUCACAUUCAGUACUCAUUGUUAUCUCUCUGGAAUAUAUUCGGGUGGAAGCUCCUUAACUUAAACUUAGGUGCUACCGUAGCAGCAGCAGCAGGAGCAGCUACUUCAUUUGAAUCAGAAAUCAGAUUUUCAUCUAACGGCCUCACAGUUCCAAUAGACGGUGGUUGAGAAGAAGCAUAAUGGUAAUGAUCGCCUGCACCGGAAACUUGUGAAUUCUCUAACGGCCUCACAGCUCCAGUAGACAGUGGUUGAGCAGAAGCAGAAGCAUCGUACUCGCCGCCGAUGCCGGAGACUUGAGAAGUAUUUAACGGUCUCACAUCCCGAGUUGACAGUGGUACUUCAUCAUCAUCUGCAUAGUCAUCGAUGCCACCGGAAAUUUGAGAAAUUUCCAAGGGUCUCACAGCUGUCAAAGACGGUGGUUCGUCAUUACUUAUGCUCCCGUCAGACGGUUGUUGAUCGGGAUUCAUUUUCUUGUUGGGUUGGGUCUUGAAAUUUUAAAUAGGGGUCGUGAUUUAUUUAUAUGAAAAUGAAGCAUCAUUUUAU
This 788-nucleotide long non-coding RNA is filed under the name Helianthus annuus (common sunflower). RNAcentral describes it as "hypothetical non coding rna". The record is from RNAcentral. Lineage: Eukaryota; Viridiplantae; Streptophyta; Magnoliopsida; Asterales; Asteraceae.